RNAcentral lists this ribosomal RNA (402 nucleotides) under uncultured Candidatus Solibacter sp. RNAcentral's name for it is "bacterial SSU rRNA". It matches the Rfam family "Bacterial small subunit ribosomal RNA", at positions 355 to 774 of the family's 1533-position model. Lineage: Bacteria; Pseudomonadati; Acidobacteriota; Terriglobia; Bryobacterales; Solibacteraceae. The record is from RNAcentral.
UGGGGAAUCUUGCACAAUGGGGGAAACCCUGAUGCAGCGACGCCGCGUGAGCGAUGAAGCCCUUCGGGGUGUAAAGCUCUUUCGGCAGGGAAGAUUAUGACGGUACCUGCAGAAGCAGCUGCGGCUAACUACGUGCCAGCAGCCGCGGUAAUACGUAGGCAGCAAGCGUUGUUCGGAGUUACUGGGCGUAAAGGGUGCGUAGGCGGCUCUAUAAGUAUGGUGUGAAAUCUCCCGGCUUAACUGGGAGGGUGCGCUAUAGACUGUGGGGCUAGAGGGUGGGAGAGGAAAGUGGAAUUCCUGGUGUAGCGGUGAAAUGCGUAGAUAUCAGGAGGAACACCGGUGGUGUAAACGGCUUUCUGGACCACUUCUGACGCUGAGGCACGAAAGCGUGGGUAGCAAACA